Long non-coding RNA from Mustela erminea (ermine), 1123 nucleotides. RefSeq lists it as uncharacterized. The transcript has 3 exons. Lineage: Eukaryota; Metazoa; Chordata; Mammalia; Carnivora; Mustelidae. The record is from RefSeq and is a predicted model, not a curated record.
CGUGUGGCUGAAACCACGUUUCCCAUGUCCUGGAGCCGGGUCUCGUGUGCUGUGCAGCCCACCGCGCGACCCUGGAGCCCGCGCACAGCAGGCAUGCAGAAAGAAGAGGGUGGAGGGUGUGCUUGAGGUUGGCCUCAGGGUGUGGCUUGUGCCUCAGUUUCCCUGGCUUGGGAAUAAGGGAAGGGGCAGCCAGACAAUGAAGAGUUGAACCCCAUGAGCUCUGUGCCUGGCUCUUCUCAGUGUCUCGAUUGUCGGAGGCAGAAGAGGAGGGACUGGAGCAGAGGGGGGAAACGGAGGUCUCGGGGAGGCGAGGGUCCACGUGCGUGAACUCAGAGCCCUGUUCUCCUUGGUCCCAUCCCCCGCUCCAGGCUUGUGCCGGGAAGGGCAGCACAGGAAGGUGGACUGCUAGCCAAGGCCCCUUGCAGGGCGGGCCCUAGCUCUCUGCGCCUGCCUCGCCCACCCAUCCCUGGCCUCCAUGGUGCUUAUUUCAGGCUCCAAGUGCCCUGUCCGUGUGGAUAACGACCUUCACGCUCAAGGACACGCACAGCUCUAAGAGAGCACGAAGGAUGACCUGGUGACACAGGUGCCCCGAGGAAGGGGCAGCUGGGCCAUCUCGUCUCUUCCUCAGGAGGGUGAGUCCAUGCAGUCAGCCACCUCCACAGGGACAGAGGUCACCCCUACCUCCCUCUAACGCCCCCCCCCCCCCAGCAACCUGGGCUUCCUGCAGAGCUUGCCUUUCCCGGCAUUGUCCCCACCCAGGAGGAAGUCCUCAGUGGCCAGAGGCAGGAAGCCGCCUUCCCAUGGAGGGUCCCAGCCCCCCCCAAGACCUGUCAUCCUGGCCUCAAUCCUCCCAUGACAGAGCUGUGAUGGGAACCUGGCCUCCUCAGAGGGUACCCAGGAGAGGCCAGUGGUCCCAGCCCCCCAGAGAUGCCCAUCCCCUCCGGGGACACCCUUCUCACCUGGGCUGGGUCAGCUGCCCUCAUUGGUACCACUGGUCGGUCGGGGGCUCACAGCGCCUUCUUUGGGGCGGGCUGGAGCCAUGAGGGCGGAGUGUUUUGUGCUGGACCAUGCCCAGCCCACAGUGGCCUCCCUGCUUCUGCGGGCCUCAGGGAUGGGGCAGAGA